Molecule: long non-coding RNA, 2955 nt
Organism: Xiphophorus hellerii (green swordtail)
Lineage: Eukaryota; Metazoa; Chordata; Actinopteri; Cyprinodontiformes; Poeciliidae
Exons: 2
Source: RefSeq, a predicted model, not a curated record
CAUUAAAAAAUAAAUCAUGUUUUUUCAACUUCAGCAGAAUAUUGACAAAGUUUUGUGCACAUUUGUAAUGGAAAUGCAGCCAAUAACAAAAAUGUAGCAAGGUUAUAUACGACCAAAUUGUAAACUAUUAUUGCAGAUUAAAUACUAAAUUAAACAAACAUUCUGUUGAACAAAAAAUGUUCACACUGAAAGUAUAACACACUAUUUAAAGCUUGAGCAAAUCAUGAAGUAAUCAUGGGACUUUUCAAAGCUUAAACUUAAGUUUAAGUUAAGUUUCUAUUUAAACAGGUCUGGAGAUUCAAAGAUACCAAUUAUGUGAAAAUUCUGAAUUAGCGAAAUCCAAAAAAGCAAUUGUUGCAGAUGCAUAAUCAUGUGCUAUAUAAUGUCUGAUGACACUUUCACCAGUAUUGCAACAUCUCAGGCAGUUGCAGCUCUCUGCACUUAUCAAGCAUAUUUUUACUCAGAUAUAAUUUUACCAAGAGUUCAUGCAUGUGACAAGUCAUGUUGACAGUUUUGAAAGUGGAUAAAACUCCGAAGCUGCCAAAGGUCACAUAUUGUUGCUUAGUGAAUAUGUUGAGCUGAAUGAAGAAGACAGAGUAGAUGUUCUCAAGAAAAAUACUUUUGCUUCCUGCUUCCUUGUGAAGAAACCAUUCAGGUUUGACAACAGAGAUCCACCCAGGAUGGAUUCCUCCCUGCUGAGUCUCAGAGUCUUUAACCACAACGCAUUCUCAAACGCUUAAAACGGGGAAAACACAGAGCUCACUUUUUCCAGUUUGCCAUGCUGCUUAGAUUAUAUUUCUCUACAUGUUAGAAAGGUGAAACAAAAACUGGACUGGGCAGAAUGGGAGGCUCAACCUGGUGACAAGUGGUAGAGCUUGUUUGUGUCUCACGCCUUCUUCAACAAUAAACGCCUUCACCGAAGGCAACUCAACAGUCUGUAAACAUCUUCCACCUCAUUAAUUCUCCUUUUAUUAGUCUCCAUGUGAUGUAUGUGAACGCACACACUGUUUUCUUUAUAUUGCUGAAAGUACCUGUAAGUCACAGGACAGUAAUAAUGGCUUGGGUUGCACAAUUAUCACCUCAUGAAGAAGGGAAAAAAAAAAGCAAAAACAGGAUUUUGUUUGACGAAGUGAUUACAUGUAGAGAAUGAGACGAUUGUCUGGAAAUAUACCAAACAUGUAGACGUUUGGUUUUUUUCCAAAACCUGCUGAGAUAAGGUGGAAUUUUGCCUGACGUCUCGUCCGAUUAUGAUUUCACAGCAGCAGAAAUUAUUUUACUAAACCAGUCGCAUAUAGAGCUGAAUUACUGCAGAGCCUGAAAACACAAAAAACAUUUUCUAUUGCAUCAUAUCUGGGAUUAAAGGUCAUGAAGCACCUUAAAAAUAGACCAUAUUCCAACAGAUAGUAUGAUUAUUGCAUCGUUCGUUCAGUGUCUGUGUAUAUAUGAAGUACAAAUGGUCAAAUUUCCCAUGGAUGCGAGUCUUUAAAUAGCAUUUUGAAAUGUCCAUGAUUGCUGGAAUGUUGUUUAUUCAGGUUCACCGGCAUUCCUCAACCAAACAACACACAAUGAACACAGCAGCUUACGAAGGCCUCCGACUUCUGGCUGGUUGUAAAACAGGUAGUGAUUUCCAAACACAUUUAUUUAGCAGAUAAAACGUGUCAUUAUCAAACUGGUUGCACAUGUGAUAAAAAGUGGAUUAAGAACAGAAAAUGCUGAAUACAUAUGACAGAGACUGUAGAUUUGUUCAUGGAAAUAUCACUUUGAUUGGAAGAUAUCUGAAUAUCACCAUGGCAACUGAUCUUUUAGUGCAAUAAAGAUGAGAGGUGAAUACUGGCUCACAUAGAAAACAAACAAAAUUGUGACUUUUUCCACUAAACUUGGACAUUUCUUAGUUGGAGCUGAGAAAUUUUGUCAUUUUUUUCUCUAGAAAAUUUCUGAGUUUUUCUAGCAAUUUUUCAACUUUUCAACCUCAGAAAUUCUCACUUUUUUCUAGAAUUACCGAAAAAAAGGCACGUGAUAAAAAUAUUCCUAGAAAUUAUUUCGGGGAACAUUUUUCGAAAAAAGUGAAAUUUUUGAGAUUGAAAAGUUGAAAGAAAUUUCAGAAAUGUUACUAAAAAAUGAAUAACAUGUCUGAACUCCAACUAAGAAACUAAGAAAUUUCCAGUUAAUUCUAGAAAAUAUUCUAGAAAUAUUUUGUAAUACUUCUAAAAUUAUUCCAUAAACCUCAAAAUUUCUGUUUUUCUAGUAAACCUUGACUUUUCUAGAAUUAUUUCUAGAAAUAUUUCUAGAUACAUUUCAAGAAAUAUUCCAGAAAUAUUUCUUGAAUAAUUCUAGAAAUAUUCCAGGAAUAUUUCUAUUCCAGAAAUCUCAACAUUUCUGUUUUUCCAGCAAUUUUUUGAGUUUUCAAACUCAGACAUUUCCAGGUUUUUUCCUCAAAACUUUCUGAGAUCAGUUACAAAAUGUAGGUGGAAAUGUUUCUUUGCGGCCCUAGAACGCCGUUGUAAAAAAGAAUAGGUCGUUGUUGAAAAAUGAACAACUUAUUUAGAUCUAGACAUAAUGUCUGUUAGGCAACCAGUGCAUCAGGAAACUGUAGUUUAGUGCCAAUAAAACAAAUAUAUAUAGCUCCUUUUGUUUAUUUUUCACAGUUUAGGGGUAAAACAUCAAUAAUGUUGUGAAGCAAAACAGUCCCAGAAUCCCAUCACACUAGGAAAAAGCAAUGACCCAUUCCCCUCUGGGUGUGUGUCAGUGUGUGUUAUAAGAACUGUGGAGCUCCAUGCGGGUCUCCUCUGCCCUCGGUGUUUAGACGUGUUUUUACUGUAAUCAGUGGGAAACAGAGGGAUAGCAUCUAACCUCGACCUCAGCAAAACGCUGCCAAACAUUAUGACCACGCUGCUAUUUGAUGGCAGAUUCUGGAUCCCCCCCCUCAGGGAGAAACUGGUAACCCCCCCAAAAAAG